AUUAGCUUGGCUCGGGCUCGAGGGGCUGUCCAGCACUGUGGGGACUUCCAAGGUGGUGCUGGUGAUAAAGAAUCUGCCUGCCGAUGCAGGAGACGUGGGAGACUCGGGUUCCGUCCCUGGGUCGGGAAGAUCCCCUGGAGGAGGGCAUGGCGACCCACUCCAGUGUUUUUGCCUGGAGAAUCCCACGGACAGAGGAGCCUGGAGGGCUACAGUCCACGGGGUCUCAAGGAGACACGGCUGAAAUGACUCAGUACACACACACACUCAUUACCACACUUGCCCAUAAAGGCAACAUAGAGGAAUCAAUCACGUCUAGUGAAAGCAUCCCACUGGAGUGACAAAGUAAAUCCCUACAUCCCCAGAAUUUAUUUAAAACAGCACUCAUUCCACACACACAAAAAAACUCAUUCAAUGACAGUGUGUUAGAGUGGAUGGGAUGGAUGAAAAAAUUUGCAUUCCAUCAAAACUCUCCGAGAAACACACAUGGACCGCUUCUUAUCAUCAGCAUGUCACUAUCGUGUCUGACAGACGGCAUGUGUGAAUCACAUCCUUCUUUUUUUUUUCUCAAAGACGAUAAUGGAGAAACUCAGCUAACACAAGGUGAAGACAAGCCAGAAGGGUCUGGGAAGAGAAAGAGUUUCCACCUGAACGGGUUCUUCGGGAAUCUAAUAUAUGCCCAGCAUCGGGACUAGACCACGGACCAUCCUGUCGGCUGUCGCCAGGCUAAUCUCAUGAAUAGCAUCCUUUGGAUCGCCUUCACGCGGGGAUAAACCCUUAAUCACCACCCACAGUCAGCAGGAACACCGCCUCAACAGAACCCAACCAUUAACCCACACCCACCAUGGCGGGGUCGAAACCAUCUUUGAAGCAUCUUCCGUUUCCUCCCAAACAAAGCUGACCCCAGCAAGGUCUGCUGUGGUUUAAUCGCUCAGUCAUGUCUGACUCUUUUGCGACCCCACGGACUGUAGCCCCACCAGGCUCCUCUGUCCAUGAGGAUUCUCCAGGCAAGAACAGUGGAGUGGGUUGCCAUGCCCUCCUCCAGGGGGAUCUUCCCAACCGAGGGAUUGAAUCUAUAAUCUCAUGCGUCUCCUGCAAUGGCAGGCAAGUUCUUUACCCCUGAGCUACUAGGGACGCCCCUAGCAAAGACUGCCCCCCCACAAUAAAACAGAAAAGGGCUCUGAAGACCACCAGGUUUGAGCUUCUCACUUUUGUUUUCUCCCAGAUGAGUUUUCACCACUGUCUUUCAUCACAGUGCCUGGGCGGAGGGGAGCUGGGCGUGGGGAAGUCGCCUAUGAUUCUACUGCCCUUUUUCCCGCCCUGACACCACUCUCUGUGAAAUCCAACUGAUUACACCAUACGCCUGGUAUUUCUUGAGGACUCUUCUGGGGGCAGUAUAUGUAACCGGUGUGUUGGAGAAGCAUGAAUCACAGGGGUGAAAGCAGAGAGCAAUUCCAUUUUGUCUCCUAGCAUCCCUUUCUGGGCUUCCCAGGUGGCCCAGGGGUGAAGAAUCCGCCUGAUUAUACUGACGAUCCGCGUUCGACCCCUGGGUCGGGAAGAUCCCCUGGAGGAGGGCAUGGAGACCCACUCCAG
Molecule: long non-coding RNA, 1590 nt
Filed under: Cervus hanglu yarkandensis (Yarkand deer)
Lineage: Eukaryota; Metazoa; Chordata; Mammalia; Artiodactyla; Cervidae
Description: lncRNA (ENSCHYG00000009921.1)
Source: RNAcentral